AGGGCAGAUGAUGGCAGGAUUAGCUUGGGGUGUAUGUGCGUGGGUGGGAGCAGAGGAAGAGACAGACAGUGCUAGAACUUGAGAAUCCCUCCUGAUUGCAUAAAAACCCUCCUCCUAAGGGGGAGGCAAUGCGGGAUGAAUUCUUUAAAAAAAUCAUGUUAUGUUCCUAUGUAAAUACGCCAGUGGGAAUUUCACCUUUAUGGAUAAAAAAAAAAAAGAACCAACUCCAGGUGAUUUUGGAUCUAUCCAAAGAUAAAUAGAUGACUGAAAGGAAGUCUAGCAGAGCAGAGAAAGGAAAAUGGGGAAAGCAAGAGAGGAAGGGAGGGGAAAAGGAGGAAUUGUGAACUGAAAUCGAAUUCAUGCAUGUGCGAUUUCAUCAGCUUACUCUGUAUAACUAUAAUGCUCUAAUAAAAAAUUUUAAGAAAGAAACCCAAACUAAAGACAAAACCAGACCAAACAAAACCAAACUAACAAAAAAACUCAUCUUAAUGUGUGGGGCCUGUCUUCCUUGUUGACUCCCCUGUCUUUGCCCCAUUUUGAGGAAGGUGUUAGGCCAGCAUAUGUUAAAAUCUCAGUAACUGCCUCUGGUAUUCCCAUCUUUGGGAACACAGAUUUAGUUAUUUCAAAAUGUGCUUAAGUUUGGAGCAAGAGGAAUUGGCAGAUGGAGAAAUGUAAUAUCCAGUUUGGAAGCAUGUUGC
RNAcentral lists this long non-coding RNA (698 nucleotides) under Marmota monax (woodchuck). Lineage: Eukaryota; Metazoa; Chordata; Mammalia; Rodentia; Sciuridae. The record is from RNAcentral.